UUACAAACCUUACCGAAAGCAAUUGGAGGGCAAGUCUGGUGCCAGCAGCCGCGGUAAUUCCAACUCCAAAAGCGUAUAUUAAAGUUGUUGCAGUUAAAAAGCUCGUAGUUGAAGUUCUGGCUGUAUUGGGCCUUAGCACUUGAUGCGGAGGAACCAGCAGUCAUCCGCUUGCAAAUACAUGUCCUUCCUUAACCGGUAGGCUGUAUAAGUAAGCACUUUACCUUGAGAAAAACAGAGUGUUCCAGGCAGGUUUGUCCGGAAUGCGUUAGCAUGGAAUAAUAGAAUAUGACUGAAGUCGAUUUAUUGGUUUAAGGCUUUAGUAAUGAUUAAUAGGAACAAUCGGGGGCAUUGGUACUUGUCAGUCAGAGGUGAAAUUCUAGGAUUUGACAAAGACUAACUGAUGCGAAAGCGUUUGCCAAGAAUGUUUUCAUUAAUCAAGAACAAAAGUUAGGGGAUCAAAGACGAUCAGAUACCGUCCUAGUCCUAACUAUAAACUAUACCGACUCGGAUUCAGAUGAAUUUUAAAGUUCAUUUGGGACCGUAGGAGAAAUCAAAGUCUUUGGGUUCUGGGGGGAGUAUGGUCGCAAGGCUGAAACUUAAAGGAAUUGACGGUUUUGCACCACCAUGGAGUGGAGCCUGCGGCUUAAUUUGACCCAACACUGGGAAACUCAUCAGGGCAAGAAGAUUUUAGGAUUGACAGAUUGAGAGUUCUUUCUUGAUUGGUCUAGUGGUGGUGCAUGGCCGUUCUUAGUUGGUGGAGUGAUUUGUCUGGUUAAUUCCGUUAACGAACGAGACCUUAACCUGCUAACUAGUACUUUGAUUUUCAAUCGGAGUUACUUCUUAGAGGGACUAUGUGAGUAAUCACAUGGAAGUUUGAGGCAAUAACAGGUCUGUGAUGCCCUUAGAUGUCCUGAGCUGCACGCGCGCUACAAUGACACAUUCAGCGAGUAUUUCCUGACCCGAAAGGGCUCGGGUAAUCUUUUCAGUGUGUGUCGUGAUAGGGAUAGAUCUUUGUAAUUAUGGAUCUUGAACGAGGAAUUCCUAGUAAGCGCACGUCAUCAGCGUGUGCUGAUUACGUCCCUGCAAAAUGUACACACCGCCCGUCGCUAUUACCGAUUGGGUGUAUAGGUGAACCUUCUCGAUAGCCGCAAGGCUAGAAAUUAAGUAAACCUUUGCACCUAGAGGAAAUAAAAGUCGUAACAAGGUUUCCGUAGGUGAACCUGCGGAAG
This 1229-nucleotide ribosomal RNA is filed under the name metagenome. RNAcentral describes it as "SSU rRNA". It matches the Rfam family "Eukaryotic small subunit ribosomal RNA", at positions 525 to 1823 of the family's 1831-position model. The record is from RNAcentral.